AACAGCCGACAGCGCUGCAUGCCACCCAUGCGCUGCUGACUGCAACCUCCAUAAAGUUCAGCCGGCCGGCAAAUGAUGUUUUGUAUUAAUUGUAGCAGCUAGUUAGCAAAAAGAUACCAUA
This is a long non-coding RNA of Patiria miniata (bat star), 121 nucleotides long. RefSeq lists it as uncharacterized. NCBI's taxonomy places the organism in Eukaryota, Metazoa, Echinodermata, Asteroidea, Valvatida, Asterinidae. The transcript has 2 exons. The record is from RefSeq and is a predicted model, not a curated record.